CAGUAGCGUAUAUUAAAGUUGUUGCAAGUUAAAAAGCUCGUAGUUGGAUUUCUGGUAAGCUGCGCCUGGCCCCGCCCGCGUUAGCGGUGUGAGUGUCGGUGCGCGGUUGCCAUCCUUCUAGAGAACGUGUCUACCUUUAAUUAGGCCGGAUUCGGGAUCUAGAUCAUUUACUUUAGAAAAAAUUAGAGUGUUUAAAGCAGGCUUUUGCUAUGAAUACAUUAGCAUGGAAUAAUAAUAUAGGACUUUGGUUCUUAUUUUGUUUGGUUUCUAGGACUAAAGUAAUGAUUGAUAGGGAUAGUUGGGGGUGGCUAGUAUUCAGCGGCCAGAGGUGAAAUUCUUGGAUUCGCUGAAGACUAACUUAUGCGAAAGCAUUCACCAAGGAUGUCUUCUUUAAUCAAGAACGAAAGUUGGGGAUCGAAGACGAUUAGAUA
This 431-nucleotide ribosomal RNA is filed under the name uncultured eukaryote. RNAcentral describes it as "SSU rRNA". It matches the Rfam family "Eukaryotic small subunit ribosomal RNA", at positions 592 to 1014 of the family's 1831-position model. The record is from RNAcentral.